CGCGUAGGCGGAUUGGAAAGUUGGGGGUGAAAUCCCAGGGCUCAACCCUGGAACUGCCUCCAAAACUAUCAGUCUAGAGUUCGAGAGAGGUGAGUGGAAUUCCGAGUGUAGAGGUGAAAUUCGUAGAUAUUCGGAGGAACACCAGUGGCGAAGGCGGCUCACUGGCUCGAUACUGACGCUGAGGUGCGAAAGUGUGGGGAGCAAACA
RNAcentral lists this ribosomal RNA (207 nucleotides) under uncultured bacterium. RNAcentral describes it as "partial 16S ribosomal RNA". It matches the Rfam family "Bacterial small subunit ribosomal RNA", at positions 568 to 774 of the family's 1533-position model. The record is from RNAcentral.